Molecule: unclassified non-coding RNA, 597 nt
Filed under: Penicillium cf. restrictum IHEM 28039
Lineage: Eukaryota; Fungi; Ascomycota; Eurotiomycetes; Eurotiales; Aspergillaceae
Description: sequence contains 18S rRNA gene, ITS1, 5.8S rRNA gene, ITS2, 28S rRNA gene
Rfam family: 5.8S ribosomal RNA (bases 220-373)
Source: RNAcentral
AGUCGUAACAAGGUUUCCGUAGGUGAACCUGCGGAAGGAUCAUUACCGAGUGAGGGCCCUCUGGGUCCAACCUCCCACCCGUGUUUAUCGUACCUUGUUGCUUCGGCGGGCCCGCCGCAAGGCCGCCGGGGGGCAUCUGCCCUCUGGCCCGCGCCCGCCGAAGACACCAUUGAACGCUGUCUGAAGAUUGCAGUCUGAGCAAUUAGUUAAAUAACUUAAAACUUUCAACAACGGAUCUCUUGGUUCCGGCAUCGAUGAAGAACGCAGCGAAAUGCGAUACGUAAUGUGAAUUGCAGAAUUCAGUGAAUCAUCGAGUCUUUGAACGCACAUUGCGCCCCCUGGUAUUCCGGGGGGCAUGCCUGUCCGAGCGUCAUUGCUGCCCUCAAGCACGGCUUGUGUGUUGGGCUCCGUCCUCCUCCCGGGGGACGGGCCCGAAAGGCAGCGGCGGCACCGCGUCCGGUCCUCGAGCGUAUGGGGCUUCGUCACCCGCUCUGUAGGCCCGGCCGGCGCUUGCCGACACAUCAAUCUUUUUUCCAGGUUGACCUCGGAUCAGGUAGGGAUACCCGCUGAACUUAAGCAUAUCAAUAAGCGGAGGAA